RNAcentral lists this ribosomal RNA (486 nucleotides) under uncultured bacterium. RNAcentral's name for it is "partial 16S ribosomal RNA". It matches the Rfam family "Bacterial small subunit ribosomal RNA", at positions 30 to 507 of the family's 1533-position model. The record is from RNAcentral.
AUUGAACGCUGGCGGCAUGCCUUACACAUGCAAGUCGAACGGCAGCACGGGUGCUUGCACCUGGUGGCGAGUGGCGAACGGGUGAGUAAUACAUCGGAACAUGUCCUGUAGUGGGGGAUAGCCCGGCGAAAGCCGGAUUAAUACCGCAUACGAUCUACGGAUGAAAGCGGGGGACCUUCGGGCCUCGCGCUAUAGGGUUGGCCGAUGGCUGAUUAGCUAGUUGGUGGGGUAAAGGCCUACCAAGGCGACGAUCAGUAGCUGGUCUGAGAGGACGACCAGCCACACUGGAACUGAGACACGGCCCAGACUCCUACGGGAGGCAGCAGUGGGGAAUUUUGGACAAUGGGCGAAAGCCUGAUCCAGCAAUGCCGCGUGUGUGAAGAAGGCCUUCGGGUUGUAAAGCACUUUUGUCCGGAAAGAAAUCCUUGGCCCUAAUACGGUCGGGGGAUGACGGUACCGGAACAAUAAGCACCGGCUAACUACGUG